UCUGCUCACAAAAUUUCAAUAAUUAUACCCUGUAAAUUUACAGAACACACACCAACCCUUUAUCUCUCCAUAUACUUUUCACAAGAAAUAAUAUCUCAACCAGAAAUCUCAAUAGCCUUCACAUCAGUUUUCUUGACUUCCUCCUUAGGAACAGUCACAGUAAGAACUCCAUUCUCCAUAGAAGCCUUAACCUCAUCCAUCUUCACAUUCUCCGGCAGCCUGAACCUCCUCAAGAACUUGCCACUGCUACGCUCCACACGGUGCCAUGUAUCGUACUUGUCUUCCUUCUCCACAUUCCUCUCUCCGCUGAUUUGCAGCACUCUGGCAUCUUCAAUUUCAACUUUCACUUGCUCUUUUUUGAGCCCAGGAAGGUCGGCCUUGAAGAUAUGAGCUUCUGGAGUCUCCUUCCAGUCCAUGCGAGUGUUAGCAAAGGCCAAAUUUUCACCAGAAGAAGAAGGGAACGGAAAGUCCUUGAAUGGAUCCCGCAGAGCAAAAGAAGAGAAGGGAUCGAAAAUGCUGCUUGUUGGGUUACCGAAGAAGCUUGUAAUCAUUGCCAUUUUCAAUCUCAAGGCUUAAGUUUUAAGAGUGGAGGAUUGUUAUUCUUGCAGAAUUAGCUAUGAAUUGCUUCUUGUUG
RNAcentral lists this unclassified non-coding RNA (634 nucleotides) under Hevea brasiliensis (rubber tree). The record is from RNAcentral. Lineage: Eukaryota; Viridiplantae; Streptophyta; Magnoliopsida; Malpighiales; Euphorbiaceae.